This 180-nucleotide small nucleolar RNA is filed under the name Stegastes partitus (bicolor damselfish). RNAcentral's name for it is "Small nucleolar RNA SNORA81 (ENSSPAG00000002438.1)". It matches the Rfam family "Small nucleolar RNA SNORA81". Lineage: Eukaryota; Metazoa; Chordata; Actinopteri; Pomacentridae. The record is from Rfam by way of RNAcentral.
CCCUUCUGCAUUAACAGAAGUCUGCUAUAAUUGUGUGAUCCAGAUGUUCUGGUUCAUGCAAUCAUGCUAGCAGACUAUGACGUGGAAGGAGAUUGUUGUGCACUGGACUGAAAACGAGAUGCAGUCGAACCUCUUUCUUAAUGUUCAUUGGCUUCCGUCUCAAGGUCAAGUGCUACAACU